Molecule: ribosomal RNA, 516 nt
Filed under: uncultured bacterium
Lineage: Bacteria
Description: bacterial SSU rRNA
Rfam family: Bacterial small subunit ribosomal RNA
Source: RNAcentral
ACGCUGGCGGCGUGCCUAAUACAUGCAAGUCGAACGGUCUUUCUAUGGAAGCUUGCUUCCACUGAGAAGAUAGUGGCGAACGGGUGGAGUAACACGUGGGUAACCUGCCCAUAAGAGGGGGAUAACAUCCGGAAACGGGUGCUAAUACCGCAUAGUUUUUCUUGAUCGCAUGAUCGGGAAAGGAAAGACGGCCUUUGUGCUGUCGCUUAUGGAUGGACCCGCGGCGUAUUAGUUAGUUGGUGAGGUAACGGCUCACCAAGACGAUGAUACGUAGCCGACCUGAGAGGGUGAUCGGCCACAUUGGGACUGAGACACGGCCCAAACUCCUACGGGAGGCAGCAGUAGGGAAUCUUCCGCAAUGGACGAAAGUCUGGCGGAGCAACGCCGCGUGAGUGAAGAAGGUUUUUCCGGGAUCGUAAAACUCUGUUGUCAGAGAAGAACAAGUUGGAGAGUAACUGCUCCAGCCUUGACGGUAUCUGACCAGAAAGCCACGGCUAACUACGUGCCAGCAGCAGC